AGAUUGAACUGAAGAGUUUGAUCCUGGCUCAGAUUGAACGCUAGCGGGAUGCCUUACACAUGCAAGUCGAACGGCAGCACGGACUUCGGUCUGGUGGCGAGUGGCGAACGGGUGAGUAAUGUAUCGGAACGUGCCCAGUAGCGGGGGAUAACUACGCGAAAGCGUAGCUAAUACCGCAUACGCCCCACGGGGGAAAGCAGGGGAUCGCAAGACCUUGCACUAUUGGAGCGGCCGAUAUCGGAUUAGCUAGUUGGUGGGGUAAUGGCUCACCAAGGCGACGAUCCGUAGCUGGUUUGAGAGGACGACCAGCCACACUGGGACUGAGACACGGCCCAGACUCCUACGGGAGGCAGCAGUGGGGAAUUUUGGACAAUGGGGGAAACCCUGAUCCAGCCAU
Molecule: ribosomal RNA, 397 nt
Filed under: Alcaligenaceae bacterium
Lineage: Bacteria; Pseudomonadati; Pseudomonadota; Betaproteobacteria; Burkholderiales; Alcaligenaceae
Description: bacterial SSU rRNA
Rfam family: Bacterial small subunit ribosomal RNA
Source: RNAcentral